GUGCUCGCUUCAGGAGCACACAUACUAAAAUUGGAACUGUACAGAGAAGAUUAGCAUGGCCCCUGUGCAAGGAUGACACGCAAAUUCAUGAAGUGUUCCAUAUUAAA
Molecule: small nuclear RNA, 107 nt
Filed under: Neotoma lepida (desert woodrat)
Lineage: Eukaryota; Metazoa; Chordata; Mammalia; Rodentia; Cricetidae
Source: RNAcentral